Molecule: small nucleolar RNA, 135 nt
Organism: Onychomys torridus (southern grasshopper mouse)
Lineage: Eukaryota; Metazoa; Chordata; Mammalia; Rodentia; Cricetidae
Product: small nucleolar RNA SNORA64/SNORA10 family
Exons: 1
Source: RefSeq, a predicted model, not a curated record
CCUCCCUCAGCUCUGUCAAUAGCACACGUCUAGUGUGUGCUUGGUGGAUUCUCAAGCAAGAGAAGAGGAUACCCUUCCUAAUGCAUAGUAAACCUGCCCCAAAGUGGCUUCUCCGUUCCUAGGAGUACAUAAGCU